UUUAUAUUUUAGUACGAUGUAAAAUGCAAGAGUUUAUCUUAUAAACACUUGAAUUCGGUAAAUUAUUGACACAUUCAACACUACUGAACUACUAUAUGCUAUCACCGGCCCACGAAAAGUUUUCUUGAAGUUGGCUUUUCAUUGGAUGAACAAUUUCUUUUUAUAUAGGUAUAGUUGGUGCCAAUUAGAGGAACAUCCACAAGCUCUAAAGUUUCAAUAAAAUUAUGAAAUUCAGUCAUUUCCUGGGUUCCUCUACGUUGAGUUGAAUCCCUCCGCACCCUCAUAAGUAGUUUGAGAUAUUAUGGUUAAAAUAAUGGUAAAUGUUGAAUUUUUAAAAUUAUAGAUAAAUAAAACAAAUUAUUUUACAAAAGCAGCAAAUAUAUUUGUGUACUUUAAAUUCUUAAUGAAUCACAACUAUUUUUUAUGUU
Molecule: long non-coding RNA, 428 nt
Organism: Cicer arietinum (chickpea)
Lineage: Eukaryota; Viridiplantae; Streptophyta; Magnoliopsida; Fabales; Fabaceae
Source: RefSeq, a predicted model, not a curated record